CGCCCUUAGAGUUUGAUCCUGGCUCAGGACGAACGCUGGCGGCGUGCCUAAUACAUGCAAGUCGAACGCAGCUUGCUUUGGUAAGAUGAGUGGCGAACGGGUGAGUAACACGUGGGUAACCUGCCUAUCAGAGGGGGAUAACACUUGGAAACAGGUGCUAAUACCGCAUAGAUUUCUUUCGCAUGAAAAGAGAGGAAAGACGUACGUGUCACUGAUAGAUGGACCCGCGGUGCAUUAGCUAGUUGGUGAGGUAACGGCUCACCAAGGCCAUGAUGCAUAGCCGACCUGAGAGGGUGAUCGGCCACACUGGGACUGAGACACGGCCCAGACUCCUACGGGAGGCAGCAGUAGGGAAUCUUCGGCAAUGGACGAAAGUCUGACCGAGCAACGCCGCGUGAGUGAAGAAGGUUUUCGGAUCGUAAAACUCUGUUGUUAGAGAAGAAUAGGUAGGAGUGACUUCCUGCCAUGACGGUAUCUAACCAGAAAGCCACGGCUAACUACGUGCCAGCAGCCGCGGUAAUACGUAGGUGGCAAGCGUUGUCCGGAUUUAUUGGGCGUAAAGCGAGCGCAGCGGUUUCUUAAGUCUGAUGUGAAAGCCCCCGGCUUAACCGGGGAGGGUCAUUGGAAACUGGGAA
Molecule: ribosomal RNA, 635 nt
Filed under: uncultured Vagococcus sp.
Lineage: Bacteria; Bacillati; Bacillota; Bacilli; Lactobacillales; Enterococcaceae
Description: bacterial SSU rRNA
Rfam family: Bacterial small subunit ribosomal RNA
Source: RNAcentral